GUAAUUCUCUGUUCAAUUUACCUCAUCUUGCUCUAUGAGACGGUGACAUAUAGGGGGUCACACAGAGGAGCUGGGGUCUAAAGGCCUUGCGAAAGGGCACAGGGUCACGUGACUGGGCUGCCGGGGACCAACUCGAACCGGCGCCUUUCGAUCGCAGGCAGAGGCUUAGCCCGCUGAUACACAUACCGCUAUCGAAUAGUUUAAUUUACGUAUCCAGACAUAUACUGUAGGGACUUAUACAAUGAAUAUAAGUGAUAACGUUAAUCGUGUGUAAAUAAUUGGAGGAAAACACACAGCUGCUAUUUUUAAGUAAUUGGGUCAGCAGGUGUGUGAAUUGAGCCGGUUGAUGUAUGCGCUACUAUGCUGGGGAAAGUUUGGGGUCUCUUUUGCUGCAAUAAAAGAAAACAUUCAGAUCAAACUUCGUCAGGCAAGAGCAACUGCAAAGUCAAACGUAUCUGUUCCGCAGAGACUGUAAGUACUGUUUCGCAGGCGAAGGACGGCGGCGAUGGUGGGAGUGAAGUGCGGCAGAGGGGAGAGGAGAAGGCGGCCGCAGACGAGGGCGUGCGGGCGCUCGAAUGCCAAGUACAUCCUGACACGGAGAACACGGACAUGUCCCUUAAUGAGUUUACCCUGGAUGAUCUGGUUACCUUCACUGAUCAGGGUGAAAGUUCAGUGACGAGAGGGUACCUUCUGGCAAAGCAAAGAACAGGAAUGGUGCACGAGGAAGGACAAGAAGCAGGAGCUGGACAUGUCAAUGAUACUGCUGAAGACUUCAAACUUGAAAGGUUUUGUAAGCAUCACAAGUCUCCAGGAAUGAAUGAAGUACUGGAGAUGAUGCGUGAUGGUGUGUCUCUUAGACAUGUGAUUGAGGUACACAAGUUGGAAGCAGAACCUGAAUUGAACAGCCAGAUGGAGUCAGAGCUUCACAGAAUUCUGAAGAAGAGGAAGGCAUCUUCAGACAACUAUAUUUCAGAUGGCUCUUUGAUUAGGAAUCCCACGGAAUCAUAUAUGGUGAUGGUCCCACAGAAUGGCUCAGCCCUGAAAAGCUGCCCCGGGCAGAACUACCUACACCAGGAGGAGGGGAAUGGCCAAGAGUAAAGGCACAAAAGGCAAACUUUAGUCCACGAGCAGAUCUCUGUGUGUCCAGAAGGAGAAACUCCAGAGGAGGUGGGCGGAGCUGAGGGUGGCCCUUUCCCCAGAAUCUAACUUCUGUACUGCCUUCAGAUGUCCAUCAUCCCACCUACGUUUUUCAGUUCGUUACUGUUGCCUGUGUGCUGCACGCGGGACAUUUCCCCGGAGCGUGGUGCUAGCUGGACCGCGACCAAAAAGGGUUUCAGGUGCUUUUUCCUUUUCAGAAUGUGUUCAAGUUCAGCAAAACAAUCCAUGUCCAUUAAAUAUUUAGCACCGGCUUUUAGCCGUAACAGGGACUUCUAACACUGCAGGAGUAUUUUGAUGCUUUAAUUGAAGGCAUUUGUAUGUCUUUUUAGGUCCACUAAAAGCCAGGAACACCCUGUUUCUCAUUACGUACGAUCAUUUCUAUUUCAGAAUAACUGCAAUACAAACAAAUACUGAAUGACUUUUUUUUUUAAAGCUUAUUGAAUAGCCAUUUCUGAAAAGCAGAUCCCCAAGCAGGUACUGGCAGUAGAUACAUACAUACAUUGUUAAUGUUUUACAAGCAUGCAACAGUGUCCUUUGCAUCCUUGGAUCAAGGUGCACCUAAUAUAUUAUACCUAAUAUUUGACUGUAAGCAUUAUGCUGCACCUGUUAUGUUACUAUUUCUUUACAUAGUUUUAACUUUUAAAAUCAAUUCACAUUUUAAGACAACUUGCAUGUACUAGUUCUUGAUGUCGUGUUAUAUAAUGUUACGGAGCUUUGCCGUGGGAGAUUGACAUGUAGGUCUAGAGAGUAUGCAGUUUCUUUUAACAGAGCGAACUAAAUACAAGGAGAUGGCAAAGAAUGUUUCUAUAAUGCAACAUGUUUAUGCCGUUAGAAAACUUCUAUGGAUGUACCUGUUGUUGGCUAUAAAAUAUGCUAUAAAAUACUGCUCUGAUACUUUUUAAAGGAAUUGAUACUUGUGUAUGAUGAACUGAUUGAAAAUGUACAGCUGGAUAGAAAUUUCUAAUGUUCGUCUAGGAAUAAUACAACUAAGUCACAUUACAGGUUUAUCCAAAGUCACUUCCUGAUGUGUGCCUUUUGGUAUUUCCUGCAGCAAUUCAAGCAUCUUAAUUAAAGGUAAAACUACACAACACCUCCUGGAACUUGAGCUUGAAUUUUCAUGUUUAAGCCUGAAUUCUUAACCCACUUCCUUAACUUCUUUAUGACUUGAUGGAAAAGUAACCCUAAUAACAGUCCUACGGCUGUUAUUUUAAGCCCGGCGCACGGGUGACCUGGCUCAGGCUGGUCGACGUAAACGGCGCGCUUCACCGCAGCUAUCGGAGAAGCUGAAAAGUCAGCGGGCAAAGGUGAGCCCCGCAACGGUUAGAAGCAGCUUCUGCCACCUCUGACGUCACCGGCCGAGGCGUGAAAAAGAGGCUGCCAGGGAUGGAGUGUGAAAGCCCGACCCGUCUGGGCUGCGUCUGCCCGCGUUUAUCUCCAGCCCUUCUGGGCUGUCGGUGCGUAAACAAACGCUGAGGAUGAGCAGCUAACGGUGCGUAGCGUCACGAGGAACUUGUUAGCAUGUGGGCCUCGCCUGAGCUUCGCUGAACGCUCUUCUCCCCCAUUUCUGAUCAUCAUGCACCCGUGUAGAUCCACUGAGCAAUCCCUGCAUCUUUGUUUUUUAAAUCUGCUUUUAAAUCUCUUCUGAAUUCAUUUGGUUAGUCCUUUUUCUUGUAUCUACCCAUUUUUGACUGAGUUAAUCUGUAGUUAUUGACACUAACAUUCAGCAAAUUAUGCAUGUGAUGUGCUCUGAAUGGCCUAGGGUAGGGCUUUAGGAAUAUUAAUACUGUCCCAGUGCUGAGAGGAUAUAAUAGAAAUCAGUUUAGGUUAAGAACAACAGAUGUCUGACUGGCACAGCUGUUGCAUCUGCUGAUUUUAUAUGUGAUACCUUGAGUCCCGAGGAAAGAAAAGUAAAGUGAGUCACCAGCUCUUUGUGUGUGUGUGUGCGCAUGCGUGUGUGUGCGCGUGUGUGCGUGUGCAUGCUUUAGCAGAGAGAACCUGCCUCUGCACUUCCUCCCACUCCUGCUAUGUUUGGGAUGACGCCUGGCACCAUGCAUGCCUUUCCUCCCCCCCCCCCCAACCAGUAUCCCGCAUCUCCGGGUUUAUUCCGCACUAGUUCGCGUGCCCUUUCCCCGUGCGGACACGCACUCCAGCCCCCGGUGGCACAGGCUGCGUGGCUUCAAGCGAGCCGCUUUGACGCACUCUGCCGGCUGCAGAAACUGCGCCGUUCACGCGCAUUCCGAGUGGGAGCGCCAGGAAGAGGGGGCCAUCGACACGUAGCAUCCCCGCAACCCUUCCAGAGAAUCGCACUGUAUGCGAUUCGUGAUGCGGUGGCGUCAAUGUGGUGGGCUGAGAGAAACGCUGUAAAAUCAGCAUUAGACACACAGACGGACACAUGGUGGCAAGUCCUGACGACAGCUCGGCUUUGAAGAUCCCUGGCUCUGCUCGUGUGAAGGGCUCCAUUGCACCGGUGUAAUGAAGACGUGCAGCCGUACGCGGCCCAAACACGCUCCAGCUCCCUUGUUUGCCCAUUUUUUUUGCAAGCUUCCCAGCACAAGCUAGAUUAACCCUGGCAGCACGUCAUGGGCCUAGUGAAGCAGAGGACUCUGGGAAGACUCACUGACUCAAGACUGACUCUGCUUUUUAUUAUCUGGGAAUAUCUAAAUGUUUUCUCUCGUGUAUCAUGAAACGAAGUUGCUGUGCAGGAUUUAACGCAUGCAUUUCAAUAGCCCAAGUGGCCUGACCUAACUUGUUCCUGUUAUACCAUUUUUUUCAAGGGCUGGCUAUUGUGUUGCAGUUUUAAAAUGAAUAAUCCAGUGUUAAGUAUUUCCCUCUUAAUAAACUUUUUCUCAUGACAAUGUUUUAAAGUAAUGCAGUGAGCCUGUAGAAAGCUAUUCAAGAUAAAAUAAAGUUUUGCUGAAAUAAUCCA
Molecule: RNA transcript, 4084 nt
Organism: Paramormyrops kingsleyae
Lineage: Eukaryota; Metazoa; Chordata; Actinopteri; Osteoglossiformes; Mormyridae
Source: RefSeq, a predicted model, not a curated record